AUGUGAAACUGCAAACUGGCCUUGAAGCAAUCGAACUUCUUGAACGUAAAUUGGCGGCAAUUAAGGGCUUCUUGCCUGAUGCCACGCCUAGCCGAGUGUCGGCAU
RNAcentral lists this ribosomal RNA (105 nucleotides) under Paradiplozoon nagibinae. RNAcentral describes it as "partial 5.8S ribosomal RNA". The record is from RNAcentral. Lineage: Eukaryota; Metazoa; Platyhelminthes; Monogenea; Mazocraeidea; Diplozoidae.